UAUUAAUAACUGCAAUGCUUUAAUUUGGAGUUAAAGUUGUUUAUAUUUAUUGUAAUUUAUAAUUGGUAAACAGCAGUUAGAUGAUGUCACUUCCGCUAAAUGACUUCCUGUUGGUUGACUUCCGGUAUUUGUUCGAAAGCUAGAGACACAUUUUGUUGUCUUCUGUAGAACUUUCUGUUGCCAUCCUACACAAAUUGGCGAAGAAGCAAUGCCUUUUUCACCAUAUUGUCUAUGAAGAAUUGUCAAAAGUAAAUGGUCAAGCUUA
Molecule: long non-coding RNA, 265 nt
Organism: Nerophis ophidion (straightnose pipefish)
Lineage: Eukaryota; Metazoa; Chordata; Actinopteri; Syngnathiformes; Syngnathidae
Exons: 2
Source: RefSeq, a predicted model, not a curated record